RNAcentral lists this small RNA (108 nucleotides) under Escherichia fergusonii ATCC 35469. Its description in RNAcentral is "MicC". It matches the Rfam family "MicC RNA". From Rfam's summary of the family: MicC (previously known as IS063) is located between the ompN and ydbK genes in E. coli. This family of Hfq-associated sRNA is thought to be a regulator of OmpC expression. Lineage: Bacteria; Pseudomonadati; Pseudomonadota; Gammaproteobacteria; Enterobacterales; Enterobacteriaceae. The record is from RNAcentral.
GUUAUAUGCCUUUCUUGUCACUAUUGCUUUUUAUGCUGGGCUACCGCAGAUUUACUCAUUUACCAGCAAUAUAAUCGACAAGCCCGAACAAAUGUCCGGGCUUUUUUU